Molecule: transfer RNA, 65 nt
Filed under: Cladotaenia vulturi
Lineage: Eukaryota; Metazoa; Platyhelminthes; Cestoda; Cyclophyllidea; Paruterinidae
Description: tRNA-Leu
Source: RNAcentral
GUAAGAAUGCCAGAAGAUGAAUGGGAUUGAUUUAGGAUCAUUUUAUGACUUUAUGUUUUCUUACU